GAAUUCAAAAUACCGAACAAAGUUAGAACAUUACAAGUCUCGCGAGUAGCGAGUUUGUCUUCACAUUACAAGUCGAUAUCUAAACUACCAUCACAUAGAAGAGGGUUGCGGUCACAAUGAGCAUCAUCGCGAUGAAACUGAUCUUCAUCCGGUUCCUCCUCCGCUCCUUCCUCUCUCCCGCUAGAUAGCACGCGUAUCUACCUUCCGCCUCCGCCCUAGUGGUGUAGCCUUUGUAACUGUUACCGCUGAAACGGUGAACCUAUCUCCGACACUCCUCCCAGUC
This 283-nucleotide long non-coding RNA is filed under the name Hordeum vulgare. RNAcentral describes it as "long non-coding RNA (HVUL_LNC004520)". The record is from RNAcentral. Lineage: Eukaryota; Viridiplantae; Streptophyta; Magnoliopsida; Poales; Poaceae.